AAAUAUAUCUUAAAUAAAUCUCAACUAAGUUCUAAUUUAAUCCUAGUUAAAAUCCUAAUAGACUUCAAUCAAAUCCUAAAAAAAAUUUAAAUCCUAAAUUAAUUCUAUAGUUCAAAUUUUAGACAAAUCUUAAAUCCUAAAUCAAAUCUUAGAUCAAACCUUAGAUCCUAAAUCAAAUCCUAAAUCAGACCUUAGACAAAUACUAAAUCCUAAACCAAAUCCUAGAUCAAAUCUUAGAUCCUAACCAAACCUUAAAUCAAACCUUAGACAAAUCUUAAACUCUAAAUCAAAUCUUAAAUUCUAAAUCAAAUCCUAGAUUAAAUCCUAGACUCUAAAUCAAAUUCUAAAUCAAAUCUUAGACAAAUCCUAAACUCUAAACCAAACCCUUUUCUUACUCAAUCUAAUCCUAGUACAAUAUAAAACCUAAAUAUCUAUCAAUUGAA
Molecule: long non-coding RNA, 443 nt
Filed under: Physcomitrium patens
Lineage: Eukaryota; Viridiplantae; Streptophyta; Bryopsida; Funariales; Funariaceae
Description: long non-coding RNA (PPAT_LNC008751)
Source: RNAcentral